Long non-coding RNA from Portunus trituberculatus (swimming crab), 156 nucleotides. RefSeq lists it as uncharacterized. The record is from RefSeq and is a predicted model, not a curated record. The transcript is spliced from 3 exons. Lineage: Eukaryota; Metazoa; Arthropoda; Malacostraca; Decapoda; Portunidae.
UUCGGCGUCACUCACCUUAUGGAGAUCUUGGACACGUGUCUACGGGACUGCUUCCGCCGGAGAGACUGCUGAACCAUAGCCAGCCCGUUGAGUAUUGCCGUCCUGAGAGAUUCCGAGAAUGUUAGCGAAGAGCUCAUUAAAGGACACUGACGGGAC